UACAGAGGGGGCUAGCGUUGUUCGGAAUUACUGGGCGUAAAGGGCGCGUAGGCGGCCUUCUAAGUCGAACGUGAAAUCCCUGGGCUCAACCCAGGAACUGCGUCCGAUACUGGAAGGCUUGAAUCCGGGAGAGGGAUGCGGAAUUCCAGGUGUAGCGGUGAAAUGCGUAGAUAUCUGGAGGAACACCGGUGGCGAAGGCGGCAUCCUGGACCGGUAUUGACGCUGAGGCGCGAAAGCCAGGGGAGCAAACGGG
RNAcentral lists this ribosomal RNA (253 nucleotides) under uncultured bacterium. RNAcentral's name for it is "partial 16S ribosomal RNA". It matches the Rfam family "Bacterial small subunit ribosomal RNA", at positions 524 to 776 of the family's 1533-position model. The record is from RNAcentral.